Molecule: long non-coding RNA, 2355 nt
Organism: Oreochromis aureus
Lineage: Eukaryota; Metazoa; Chordata; Actinopteri; Cichliformes; Cichlidae
Source: Ensembl
CUGUUUUUGCUGAGAAACAGGCUCCUCAUGCAGAAGGCAGCAUGGAGAUGUAAUCAGAUGCCAUCUUCUCUGAAUUAUCAGGCUGGAACGCCUUUUCACCACAUGUUCAUGGAGACAAUUAAACAAGCUGCAACUAAACUCCAGGGUCUUCAUUUGUGGUUUAACUCGGUGUCACCAACAUCCUCGUUGAAAACACUACAAGUAUAUAGUAUAUACUAUACUAGUGUAUAUGCACACUGCAAAAAACAUGGGAAAGAAGAAGCUGAGGUUAUUUUGUCUCUGCCCUUGCUUUUGCUUCCUAUAUCACCUUUCCACAUACAGUGUGUGAACACCAACAGGUGAUUGGCUAUUUUGAAGAAUUUAAAACAUGCUUUGAGUUAGUUCACACUUUUUGUUUACUACUUAAUUCCAUAUGUAUUCAUUCAUAGUUUUGAUUCCUUCAGUGAGAAACUACAAUGUAAAUAGUCAUGAAAAUAAAGAAAAACCUUUAAAUGAGACUGUUAGUGUAUACAUAGAUGGCGUAAUAUUUCUGCAUUCCUGUGUUUGUAAAAUAAAUUAAAAACAAAAAAAAUCUGCACACUGAAAAAAACGUGGGAAAGAAGAAGCUGAGGUUAUGUUGUCUCUACUCUUUGUUUUACUUCCUUUAUCACCUUUCCACAUACAGUUUGUGAACACCGACUGAUAUGUAGUAUCAGUCAUUUCUGUUAUUUAACUGUAUGAACACACUCUGAACACCAAGAAGACAUGGAAGCUGUGCUUGGAUUGAUAGUGAUGUUGCUGGGAUUGUCUCAUGGUGUGGAAACUUACUGUGAUGGCAGACAGGAUGGAGCUCAGUGUUAUGGAGCUUUGGGAGGAAGUGUGGAGAUCAAGCUGAUGAACAGCACCUCAAAAAUACCUCGAUACCAACUGUUAAAGAAUUCAUUAAAAAUACUAGAUGUGAGAAAGAAAAAGAUUCUUUCUAAUAUCAUACAAAAUAGGUCUCUCUUUUUUCCCAGUAAUGGAACAUUUAGGCUCAAUUACCUGAGCAGGAAUGACAGUGGUAAUUAUAGCCUUAUAACAUUUAAUUCAGAUGGAAAAGCAUCAGACGAGCAGACUCUACACUUGUUUGUUCAAGCUCCUGUGUCCUCUGUCCUGCUGGUCUCUGAGUGUCUGUCCCAGGGAGAGAGGAGGGUGUCCUGCUCCUCUGAGGGAGGGGACAGUCCUCAGUACAGCUGGACUCUGGAUGGACGCACACUGACAGAUGCUGAGCUCCUUUCUGUAAAUAAUGAGACUAACAUCAUCAUUCUGAAACAGCACGUCUCAGGACGUCUGGUCUGCUCAGUGAGGAACAACGUCAGUGAUGCCUUCAAAGUACAGAAGAUAUCUACCUGUGGUGUGGGAACUUACUGUGAUGGCAGACAGGAUGGAGCUCAGUGUUAUGGAGCUUUGGGAGGAAGUGUGGAGAUCAAGCUGAUGAACAGCACCUCAAAAAUACCUCGAUACCAUUUGUUAAAGAAUUCAUUAAAAAUACUAGAUGUGAGAAAGAAAAAGAUUCUUUCUAAUAUCAUAGAACAUAAAUUUCUCUUUUUUCCCAGUAAUGGAACAUUUAGGCUCAAUUAUCUGAGCAGGACAGACAGUGGUAAUUAUAGCCUAAAAACCUUUGAUUCGGAUGGAAAAGCAUCAGACGAGCAGACUCUACACUUGUUUGUUCAAGCUCCUGUGUCCUCUGUCCUGCUGGUCUCUGAGUGUCUGUCCCAGGAAGAGAGGAGGGUGUCCUGCUCCUCUGAGGGAGGGGACAGUCCUCAGUACAGCUGGACUCUGGAUGGACGCACACUGACAGAUGCUGAGCUCCUUUCUGGAAAUAAUGAGACUAACGUUAUCACUCUGAAACAGCACGUCUCAGGACGUCUGGUCUGCUCAGUCAGGAACAACGUCACUAACGUUUUCAUAGAACACAGGAUGUCUACCUGUGCUCCAUCAGUGGGAUACAGACAUCAGGAUAAGUCCUUGCUUAUAUGCGGUUUGCGAGCAGUUGUGGUAAUUCUCUUGCUAAUUGGGAUUUACAUCUACUUCGCUUGGAAAAAAAAGAAACAUGCCAAAGCUGAAGUCUCUGCUGUCCCACAAACAAGAGGAGAUCCAGAAGACUCUGUUCUGAUGGUUGAAAUGAGUUCUGCAACUUACACCAACACCUAGUGUCACCUUUUACUUGCUGUUGUUUUUGUCAUUGGUUCACAAGCAUGAAAAUAACAUUUAGAGAGAAAUUCUUGUUUCACAGACAGCUCAUAUUGAAUUAUGAUGAGAAGCUCUGUGGUUUCUGGGUUUUACAUUUUUAAUACAAAUCUUUACAAUUCUUAAACAAUAAAGUCUUGAAUUAAG